Molecule: ribosomal RNA, 682 nt
Filed under: Streptomyces sp. FXJ1.139
Lineage: Bacteria; Bacillati; Actinomycetota; Actinomycetes; Kitasatosporales; Streptomycetaceae
Description: bacterial SSU rRNA
Rfam family: Bacterial small subunit ribosomal RNA
Source: RNAcentral
UGCAAGUCGAACGGUGAAGCCUUUCGGGGUGGAUCAGUGGCGAACGGGUGAGUAACACGUGGGCAAUCUGCCCUGCACUCUGGGACAAGCCCUGGAAACGGGGUCUAAUACCGGAUAUUACCUGGUUGCGCAUGCUUCCGGGUGGAAAGCUCCGGCGGUGCAGGAUGAGCCCGCGGCCUAUCAGCUUGUUGGUGGGGUGAUGGCCUACCAAGGCGACGACGGGUAGCCGGCCUGAGAGGGCGACCGGCCACACUGGGACUGAGACACGGCCCAGACUCCUACGGGAGGCAGCAGUGGGGAAUAUUGCACAAUGGGCGAAAGCCUGAUGCAGCGACGCCGCGUGAGGGAUGACGGCCUUCGGGUUGUAAACCUCUUUCAGCAGGGAAGAAGCGCGAGUGACGGUACCUGCAGAAGAAGCACCGGCUAACUACGUGCCAGCAGCCGCGGUAAUACGUAGGGUGCGAGCGUUGUCCGGAAUUAUUGGGCGUAAAGAGCUCGUAGGCGGCUUGUCGCGUCGGAUGUGAAAGCCCGGGGCUUAACUCCGGGUCUGCAUUCGAUACGGGCAGGCUGGAGUGCGGUAGGGGAGAUCGGAAUUCCUGGUGUAGCGGUGAAAUGCGCAGAUAUCAGGAGGAACACCGGUGGCGAAGGCGGAUCUCUGGGCCGUUACUGACGCUGAGGAGCG